This is a long non-coding RNA of Anopheles gambiae (African malaria mosquito), 448 nucleotides long. RefSeq lists it as uncharacterized. The record is from RefSeq and is a predicted model, not a curated record. The transcript is spliced from 3 exons. NCBI's taxonomy places the organism in Eukaryota, Metazoa, Arthropoda, Insecta, Diptera, Culicidae.
UUGUUCAAAGAACCGUCAAAUUUAGAAAAAAAGCGUAUAGCGAAAUCGUGUAUAUCGAGUAUGGCGUAUAUCGGGGAAUACCUGUAUAGCCACACGAGGAAGGCGCUGCUUCGCGUUCACAUGAAAAUGUGGUAGUGUGAAAUCAAGUUUGCAAGCGGUAGGACGCGUCGGUGUGUGUCCGUUUUUUCUCUCGUGAAACCAGUACGGAAAAACUAUUUGAAAUCGUAACACACGCACGAACGGAAGUGAGCACGGACCACAACAGAAGCAAUAUUCAAUUGGUUGGAGUGCCGAAAACAGAACAGGAGAGUAAAGAAGGCAGGAACGAUCCGAUCCUCCAACGUGCUAGCGCCUGGUAGAGGAGAAGCGGCAGGAAGGUAGAGACGAACAUCCAGCUCGCUAGUGCAGCACGUGGGAGCAGCAAGAGGGAAGCAAGCAGGACGCGUAC